UUGGACAUUGGAGUGAAUGUGUUGCUUGCGCUUUUUGUGGUGGACAUGCAAGAGCAAGGCCAACGUGGGUUGUGCUAAGAACUUCCAAGCAAAGAGGUGCUAAGAAAAAAAAACUCCUCCAACGUGCUAGACUCACUUAUGGGACCCACAGACCAAAUAAAAAACAAAAUCCUGGGAUCUUUCCAACCUUCUCAGUCUCACUGGUUCCUGGGCCCCACCAAAGUCAAUAGAAGUUAGAACCAGAUCAAGUUCAGGAAUCGAUUCCUAAAAAAAUUUCUUAGCUAGCACCCGUGCAAUGGUUAGAAGCGAUACUAGUACUACUUUUUCAUCUCUUAGCUAUACUUGUUGACCAACACUGCACUUGCUCUAAUGGGCCUUCACC
RNAcentral lists this long non-coding RNA (382 nucleotides) under Brachypodium distachyon (stiff brome). RNAcentral's name for it is "long non-coding RNA (BDIS_LNC001103)". The record is from RNAcentral. Lineage: Eukaryota; Viridiplantae; Streptophyta; Magnoliopsida; Poales; Poaceae.